CUUUUAAACAGUUUAUAAAGUCUGCCUCUUUGCAGUCUGUCUUCCUGUUGAAUGAAUUUGUCCAAUAUAGGUUAUGUUUUUAUUCCUUUUAUAGUCCAUCAAGUGGUUCAGUUGUUCUCAUGAAUCUCAUUUCAGCAGAUGUACAAAGAAGAUGUCACCAUGUUGCACUGCCAAACCUCUGCAGACUCUUGUCUUGUGCAACCAGGUCUAUCUGGACCUUUUUGCGCAUGUAGAAGAUUGGACAGUCACGACUGAAAUAUAAGUCAUCAUUCUGCUUUACAAGUCUUCCACAACCAGAGAGCUUUAAAACAUAUCAUGGAAUCAACUAUCUGUAAUUUAACAGCCCAUGACAAAGCAAAGUGAACCCUGACAGCGCUGGCACUGAGUCCAAAGUCUGCAAAACCUGUCCUCCAGAGUGGUGAAACGUGCAAGCUCCUGCUGGUACAGACGGGCCUCAUCUGGAGCGCAGUGCUUACACAGGGGAAUUCCAUCUUCAGACAGAACAGCCUUACAGCCUAAACAUGUUUCCUUGCGCCGUGUAAAUGCUGAUAAGGCACCUACUCGAGAUGUUACAACUGCCUUAGUACGUGUAUGAUCACCUCCUGAGACAAAUAACUUAUGAUGAUUACUGUGUUCACUGACUGCUAUUUACUUAUGUUAUGAUUAACAAUGCAAUUUGCAUAAACACUCUCCUUACUCUACGUCAAUAACUGAUUCUUGUGACUGAAAUUCAAGGUUCAACACCAUGAACACCAAAUCCCAUCAUCCAACUACUUCCAUUUAUCCACCAUCCACACAACUUGUCUCUCAAAGAUAAAUAUUCUGUUAUUCUUCAAUCAAUUUUACACUUUAGGUAGUGUUUUGCUGAACCUGACAUUAGACUGGAAAUAGAAGUUGGUGUUAGUACAACAACUAAGAAUCCUCAGAUUAUUUAGAUAUCCUAUGUUGACAAAAUUAAAAUCCGAAAUAAACAGCAGAAGCUCAAUAAAAUAUCUAUUUUGAGACAGACCCAUA
This is a long non-coding RNA of Zootermopsis nevadensis, 1014 nucleotides long. RefSeq lists it as uncharacterized. Lineage: Eukaryota; Metazoa; Arthropoda; Insecta; Blattodea; Termopsidae. The record is from RefSeq and is a predicted model, not a curated record.